GGAGGGGUGGCAGAGUGGUUGAAUGCGGCGGUCUCGAAAACCGUUAUGGGCGUGAUUCGUCCAUCGAGGGUUCGAAUCCCUCCCCCUCCG
This 90-nucleotide transfer RNA is filed under the name Thermoleophilaceae bacterium. RNAcentral describes it as "tRNA-Ser". It matches the Rfam family "tRNA". From Rfam's summary of the family: Transfer RNA (tRNA) molecules are approximately 80 nucleotides in length. Their secondary structure includes four short double-helical elements and three loops (D, anti-codon, and T loops). The record is from RNAcentral. Lineage: Bacteria; Bacillati; Actinomycetota; Thermoleophilia; Thermoleophilales; Thermoleophilaceae.